AGAGUUUGAUCCUGGCUCAGAUUGAACGCUGGCGGCAUGCCUUACACAUGCAAGUCGAACGGCAGCAUGAUCUAGCUUGCUAGAUUGAUGGCGAGUGGCGAACGGGUGAGUAAUACAUCGGAACGUGCCCUGUAGUGGGGGAUAACUAGUCGAAAGAUUAGCUAAUACCGCAUACGACCUGAGGGUGAAAGUGGGGGACCGCAAGGCCUCAUGCUAUAGGAGCGGCCGAUGUCUGAUUAGCUAGUUGGUGAGGUAAAGGCUCACCAAGGCGACGAUCAGUAGCUGGUCUGAGAGGACGAUCAGCCACACUGGGACUGAGACACGGCCCAGACUCCUACGGGAGGCAGCAGUGGGGAAUUUUGGACAAUGGGCGAAAGCCUGAUCCAGCAAUGCCGCGUGUGUGAAGAAGGCCUUCGGGUUGUAAAGCACUUUUGUCCGGAAAGAAAUGGCUCUGGUUAAUACCUGGGGUCGAUGACGGUACCGGAAGAAUAAGGACCGGCUAACUACGUGCCAGCAGCCGCGGUAAUACGUAGGGUCCAAGCGUUAAUCGGAAUUACUGGGCGUAAAGCGUGCGCAGGCGGUUGUGCAAGACCGAUGUGAAAUCCCCGAGCUUAACUUGGGAAUUGCAUUGGUGACUGCACGGCUAGAGUGUGUCAGAGGGGGGUAGAAUUCCACGUGUAGCAGUGAAAUGCGUAGAGAUGUGGAGGAAUACCGAUGGCGAAGGCAGCCCCCUGGGAUAACACUGACGCUCAUGCACGAAAGCGUGGGGAGCAAACAGGAUUAGAUACCCUGGUAGUCCACGCCCUAAACGAUGUCAACUAGUUGUUGGGGAUUCAUUUCCUUAGUAACGUAGCUAACGCGUGAAGUUGACCGCCUGGGGAGUACGGUCGCAAGAUUAAAACUCAAAGGAAUUGACGGGGACCCGCACAAGCGGUGGAUGAUGUGGAUUAAUUCGAUGCAACGCGAAAAACCUUACCUACCCUUGACAUGCCACUAACGAAGCAGAGAUGCAUUAGGUGCUCGAAAGAGAAAGUGGACACAGGU
This 1044-nucleotide ribosomal RNA is filed under the name human gut metagenome. RNAcentral's name for it is "bacterial SSU rRNA". It matches the Rfam family "Bacterial small subunit ribosomal RNA", at positions 8 to 1039 of the family's 1533-position model. The record is from RNAcentral.